CUUCGCAGGAGCAGGAGCGUCCAUCGCCGCGCUUCUGCAAGUGCGGCUGGAAGAACAGGCUUAAAGCGCUCCCCAGAGACCUGGGAUCUCUCUGGAAAAUCAAAGCGAGGAGCAAACCUGAAUUCUAUCUCUUCCCACCCUCUGGUCUACUGGAAGCCAGAGAGCGAAGGAGUCCAGGAGACACUGUCCACAGAGGUCGUCCCCGCUGGACACAUGGUGCAGACGGGAUCUGUGUGAGAUGCAAGCGUAGAGUAACUGACCCCACAUCUCAAACUGGAGGUGGCAAAACAGCUCUCUCCGCUUUCUCAAGCCACCGCUAACCCCUGUCCCCACCAUCACCUCCUGCCUGGUGGAGGGCAGUAGCCGUCUAACUGGACACCCUGCCUCCCUUUUCUCCCCACGCCAUUAUCUGUAACCAACUAGAGUGACCUCUAUAUAUGAAUCGAGUCAAGUCCCUCCUGCAGUGGCUCUCAUUGCUCUUCCAAUAAAGCCCCAUCUCCUUGGCCUGGUUUCUGAGGCUCUGAAUCAAACGGCCACCACCCAGGCUGGUACAUGAGACAAAUUCAUCGUUGGUCCGUGCACAACCUACUUUGAUG
This 596-nucleotide long non-coding RNA is filed under the name Capra hircus (goat). RNAcentral describes it as "lncRNA (ENSCHIG00000008264.1)". The record is from RNAcentral. Lineage: Eukaryota; Metazoa; Chordata; Mammalia; Artiodactyla; Bovidae.